UACGGAGGGUGCAAGCGUUGUCCGGAAUCACUGGGCGUAAAGGGCGCGUAGGCGGCUCAUGAAGGCUGUGGUGAAAGUCCGGGGCUCAACCUCGGAAUCGGCCGUGGCGACUCGUGGGCUGGAGCACUGUAGAGGCGGGUGGAAUUCCGGGUGUAGCGGUGGAAUGCGUAGAGAUCCGGAAGAACACCAGUGGCGAAGGCGGCCCGCUGGGCAGUGGCUGACGCUGAGGCGCGACAGCGUGGGGAGCAAACAGG
Molecule: ribosomal RNA, 254 nt
Filed under: uncultured bacterium
Lineage: Bacteria
Description: partial 16S ribosomal RNA
Rfam family: Bacterial small subunit ribosomal RNA
Source: RNAcentral